This 497-nucleotide ribosomal RNA is filed under the name uncultured bacterium. RNAcentral's name for it is "partial 16S ribosomal RNA". It matches the Rfam family "Bacterial small subunit ribosomal RNA", at positions 28 to 507 of the family's 1533-position model. The record is from RNAcentral.
GAUGAACGCUGGCGGCGUGCCUAACACAUGCAAGUCGAGCGAACAGACGAGGAGCUUGCUCCUCUGACGUUAGCGGCGGACGGGUGAGUAACACGUGGAUAACCUACCUAUAAGACUGGGAUAACUUCGGGAAACCGGAGCUAAUACCGGAUAAUAUAUUGAACCGCAUGGUUCAAUAGUGAAAGACGGUUUUGCUGUCACUUAUAGAUGGAUCCGCGCCGCAUCAGCUAGUUGGUAAGGUAACGGCUUACCAAGGCAACGAUGCGUAGCCGACCUGAGAGGGUGAUCGGCCACACUGGAACUGAGACACGGUCCAGACUCCUACGGGAGGCAGCAGUAGGGAAUCUUCCGCAAUGGGCGAAAGCCUGACGGAGCAACGCCGCGUGAGUGAUGAAGGUCUUCGGAUCGUAAAACUCUGUUAUUAGGGAAGAACAAAUGUGUAAGUAACUAUGCACGUCUUGACGGUACCUAAUCAGAAAGCCACGGCUAACUACGUG